CUGAGUACGGCGGAACACGUGAAAUUCCGUCGGAAUCCGGGAGGACCAUCUCCCAAGGCUAAAUACUCCCUAGUGACCGAUAGUGAACCAGUACCGUGAGGGAAAGGUGAAAAGCACCCCGGAAGGGGAGUGAAACAGUUCCUGAAACCGUGUGCCUACAAGUAGUUAGAGCCCGUUAAUGGGUGAUAGCGUGCCUUUUGUAGAAUGAACCGGCGAGUUACGAUUUGUUGCAAGGUUAAGCGGAAAAAGCGGAGCCGUAGCGAAAGCGAGUCUGAAUAGGGCGCAUAAGUAACAGGUCGUAGACCCGAAACCAGGUGAUCUACCCAUGUCCAGGAUGAAGGUAAGGUAAUACUUACUGGAGGUCCGAACCCACGCACGUUGAAAAGUGCGGGGAUGAGGUGUGGGUAGCGGAGAAAUUCCAAUCGAACUUGGAGAUAGCUGGUUCUCUCCGAAAUAGCUUUAGGGCUAGCCUCGAGGUAAAGAGUCAUGGAGGUAGAGCACUGUUUGGACUAGGGGCCCUUCUCGGGUUACCGAAUUCAGAUAAACUCCGAAUGCCAUGUACUUAUACUCGGGAGUCAGACUGCGAGUGAUAAGAUCCGUAGUCGAAAGGGAAACAGCCCAGACCACCAGUUAAGGUCCCCAAAUAUAUGUUAAGUGGAAAAGGAUGUGGGGUUGCUUAGACAACCAGGAUGUUGGCUUAGAAGCAGCCACCAUUGAAAGAGUGCGUAAUAGCUCACUGGUCGAGUGACCCCGCGCCGAAAAUGUACCGGGGCUAAACAUAUUACCGAAACUGUGGAUGAACCUCUUUAGAGGUUCGUGGUAGGAGAGCGUUCUAAGGGCGGUGAAGUCAGACCGGAAGGACUGGUGGAGCGCUUAGAAGUGAGAAUGCCGGUAUGAGUAGCGAAAGAAGGGUGAGAAUCCCUUCCACCGAAUAUCUAAGGUUUCCUGAGGAAGGCUCGUCCGCUCAGGGUUAGUCGGGACCUAAGCCGAGGCCGAUAGGCGUAGGCGAUGGACAACAGGUAGAGAUUCCUGUACCAGUGCUAAUUGUUUAACCGAUGGGGUGACACAGAAGGAUAGGGAAUCGCACGAAUGGAAAUGUGCGUCCAAGCAGUGAGUGUGAGAAGUAGGCAAAUCCGCUUCUCGCGAAGCAUGAGCUGUGAUGGGGAAGGAAAUUAAGUACGGAAGUUCCUGAUUUCACGCUGUCAAGAAAAGCCUCUAGGAAGAGUAGUACUGCCCGUACCGCAAACCGACACAGGUAGAUGAGGAGAGAAUCCUAAGGUGAGCGAGAGAACUCUCGUUAAGGAACUCGGCAAAAUGACCCCGUAACUUCGGGAGAAGGGGUGCUCUAUUAGGGUGCAAGCCCGAGAGAGCCGCAGUGAAUAGGCCCAGGCGACUGUUUAGCAAAAACACAGGUCUCUGCAAAACCGUAAGGUGACGUAUAGGGGCUGACGCCUGCCCGGUGCUGGAAGGUUAAGAGGAGUGCUUAGCUUCGGCGAAGGUACGAAUUGAAGCCCCAGUAAACGGCGGCCGUAACUAUAACGGUCCUAAGGUAGCGAAAUUCCUUGUCGGGUAAGUUCCGACCCGCACGAAAGGCGCAACGAUCUGGGCACUGUCUCAACGAGAGACUCGGUGAAAUUAUAGUACCUGUGAAGAUGCAGGUUACCCGCGACAGGACGGAAAGACCCCGUGGAGCUUUACUGCAACCUGAUAUGGAAUGUUUGUACCGCUUGUACAGGAUAGGUAGGAGCCGAAGAGACGUGUGCGCUAGCAUACGAGGAGGCAAUGGUGGGAUACUACCCUGGCUGUAUGACCAUUCUAACCCGCCACGCUUAGCGCGUGGGGAGACAGUGUCAGGUGGGCAGUUUGACUGGGGCGGUCGCCUCCUAAAGAGUAACGGAGGCGCCCAAAGGUUCCCUCAGAAUGGAUGGAAAUCAUUCGCAGAGUGUAAAGGCACAAGGGAGCUUGACUGCGAGACUGACAAGUCGAGCAGGGACGAAAGUCGGGCUUAGUGAUCCGGUGGUUCCGCAUGGAAGGGCCAUCGCUCAACGGAUAAAAGCUACCCCGGGGAUAACAGGCUUAUCUCCCCCAAGAGUCCACAUCGACGGGGAGGUUUGGCACCUCGAUGUCGGCUCGUCGCAUCCUGGGGCUGUAGUCGGUCCCAAGGGUUGGGCUGUUCGCCCAUUAAAGCGGCACGCGAGCUGGGUUCAGAACGUCGUGAGACAGUUCGGUCCCUAUCCGUCGCGGGCGCAGGAAAUUUGAGAGGAGCUGUCCUUAGUACGAGAGGACCGGGAUGGACACACCGCUGGUGUACCAGUUGUUCCGCCAGGAGC
This 2330-nucleotide ribosomal RNA is filed under the name Listeria monocytogenes. Its description in RNAcentral is "partial 23S ribosomal RNA". It matches the Rfam family "Bacterial large subunit ribosomal RNA", at positions 408 to 2736 of the family's 2925-position model. The record is from RNAcentral. Lineage: Bacteria; Bacillati; Bacillota; Bacilli; Caryophanales; Listeriaceae.